Molecule: ribosomal RNA, 546 nt
Filed under: uncultured bacterium
Lineage: Bacteria
Description: bacterial SSU rRNA
Rfam family: Bacterial small subunit ribosomal RNA
Source: RNAcentral
UGGGGAAUAUUGCGCAAUGGGGGGAACCCUGACGCAGCCAUGNCGCGUGAAUGAAGAAGGCCUUCGGGUUGUAAAGUUCUUUCGGUAUUGAGGAAGGUUGAUGUGUUAAUAGCACAUCAAAUUGACGUUAAAUACAGAAGAAGCACCGGCUAACUCCGUGCCAGCAGCCGCGGUAAUACGGAGGGUGCGAGCGUUAAUCGGAAUAACUGGGCGUAAAGGGCAAGCAGGCGGUUAUUUAAGUGAGGUGUGAAAGCCCCCGGCCUAACCUGGGAAUUGCAUUUCAGACUGGGUAACUAGAGUACUUUAGGGAGGGGUAGAAUUCCACGUGUAGCGGUGAAAUGCGUAGAGAUGUGGAGGAAUACCGAAGGCGAAGCNAGCCCCUUGGGAAUGUACUGACGCUCAUGUGCGAAAGCGUGGGGAGCAAACAGGAUUAGAUACCCUGGUAGUCCACGCUGUAAACGCUGUCGAUUUGGGGGUUGGGGUUUAACUCUGGCGCCCGUAGCUAACGUGAUAAAUCGACCGCCUGGGGAGUACGGCCGCAAGUUA